GGAGAGGUGGCCGAGUGGUCGAAGGCGCACGCUUGGAAAGCGUGUAAUGAGGUAACACUCAUUCGAGGGUUCGAAUCCCUCUCUCUCCUCCA
This 92-nucleotide transfer RNA is filed under the name Bdellovibrionales bacterium. RNAcentral's name for it is "tRNA-Ser". It matches the Rfam family "tRNA". From Rfam's summary of the family: Transfer RNA (tRNA) molecules are approximately 80 nucleotides in length. Their secondary structure includes four short double-helical elements and three loops (D, anti-codon, and T loops). The record is from RNAcentral. Lineage: Bacteria; Pseudomonadati; Bdellovibrionota; Bdellovibrionia; Bdellovibrionales.